The sequence is an antisense RNA, 69 nucleotides long. It matches the Rfam family "ASpks TB sRNA".
CUUCACGGAACCGAGCCACACCGGGCGUUCCCGGUCCUGCCCGUAGGUGGCGAGCAGCGCCUGGGCCUC